Molecule: ribosomal RNA, 415 nt
Filed under: uncultured bacterium
Lineage: Bacteria
Description: bacterial SSU rRNA
Rfam family: Bacterial small subunit ribosomal RNA
Source: RNAcentral
GGAAUAUUGGACAAUGGUCGCAAGACUGAUCCAGCCAUGCCGCGUGCAGGAUGAAGGCGCUCAGCGGUGUAAACUGCUUUUGUUCGGGAAAAAACCCCCUCUUUCCAGAGGGGCUGAUGGUACCGAGAGAAUAAGGAACGGCUAACUUCGUGACAGCAGCCGCGGUAAUACGAAGUUCCCAAGCGUUAUCCGGAUUUAUUGGGUUUAAAGGGUGCGUAGGCGGACUAUUAAGUCAGUGGUGAAAGCCCCGGGCCUAACCCGGGAAUUGCCAUUGAUACUGAUGGUCUUGAGUACAUUUGAGGAGGGCGGAAUGUGUCAUGUAGCGGUGAAAUGCUUAGAUAUGACACAGAACACCAAUUGCGUAGGCAGCUCUCUAAACUGUAACUGACGCUGAGGCACGAAAGCGUGGGGAGCA